RNAcentral lists this long non-coding RNA (228 nucleotides) under Carica papaya (papaya). Its description in RNAcentral is "long non-coding RNA (CPAP_LNC007480)". The record is from RNAcentral. Lineage: Eukaryota; Viridiplantae; Streptophyta; Magnoliopsida; Brassicales; Caricaceae.
AUUUUUCUAUAAAAUGAGUUUGUUAUAAACUCAUACUCUAACUUUAUUUACUGGUAAACAAAGAAGCAAUCCAUCAUCGUGUGUUUUACAACCAAAGGUGAGCAAAAAUUGUUGCUAGUGCCAUUGCUGGACUCCUCUAGCUACAAUCAUUAUUUCUUGAACUUGGACUAUCUUUAAAAUUUUCACAUAUUAUUUAGGAUGACAAUAUUGGUGCUAUAUAUCUCACUU